CCGGUCCUACGGGACGCCGCAGUGGGGAAUAUUGGGCAAUGGGCGCAAGCCUGACCCAGCAACGCCGCGUGAAGGAAGAAGGCUUUCGGGUUGUAAAUUUCUUUUGUCAGGGACGAAGCAAGUGACGGUACCUGACGAAUAAGCCACGGCUAACUACGUGCCAGCAGCCGCGGUAAUACGUAGGUGGCAAGCGUUAUCCGGAUUUAUUGGGUGUAAAGGGCGUGUAGGCGGGAAUGCAAGUCAGAUGUGAAAACUAUGGGCUCAACCCAUAGCCUGCAUUUGAAACUGUAUUUCUU
This 296-nucleotide ribosomal RNA is filed under the name uncultured bacterium. RNAcentral's name for it is "partial 16S ribosomal RNA". It matches the Rfam family "Bacterial small subunit ribosomal RNA", at positions 333 to 643 of the family's 1533-position model. The record is from RNAcentral.